Molecule: ribosomal RNA, 501 nt
Filed under: uncultured bacterium
Lineage: Bacteria
Description: partial 16S ribosomal RNA
Rfam family: Bacterial small subunit ribosomal RNA
Source: RNAcentral
AUUCAACGCUGGCGGCAUGGCUUACACAUGCAAGUCGAACGGCAGCACGGGUGCCUGCACCUGGUGGCGAGAGGCGAACGGGUGAGUAAUACAUCGGAACGUACCUUAUCGUGGGGGACAACGCAGCGAAAGCUGUGCUAAUAACGCAUACGCCCUGAGGGGGAAAGCGGGGGAUCGCAAGACCUCGCGCGAUUAGAGCGGCCGAUGCCUGAUUAGCUUGUUGGUGGGGUAAAAGCCCACCAAGGCGACGAUCAGUAGCUGGGCUGAGAGGACGAUCAGCCACACCGGGACUGUGACACGGCCCUGUGUCCUACGGGAGGCAGCAGUGGGGGAUUUUGGGCAAUGGGGGCAACCCUGAUCCAGCGAGUCCGCGUGAGUGAAGAAGGCCUUCGGGUUGUAAAGGUCUUUUGUCAGGGAAGAAACACCGGCUCUAACACAGUCCGUGAAUGACGGUACCUGAAGAAUAAGCACCGGCUAACUACGUGCCAGCCGCCGCAGUAA